CUUUACUGUAACCUGGAAUUGGGUUCGGGCUUUGCUUGCGCAGGAUAGGUGGGAGGCGUUGAGAUAUUCCUUGUGGGGAAUGUGGAGCCAACGGUGAGAUACCACUCUGGUGAGGCUAGAAUUCUAACCCGAUGCCGUGAACCGGCUCGGGAACAGUUUCAGGCGGGCAGUUUGACUGGGGCGGUCGCCUCCUAAAAGGUAACGGAGGCGCGCAAAGGUUCUCUCAGGCUGGUUGGAAAUCAGCCGUAGAGUGUAAAGGCAUAAGAGAGCUUGACUGCGAGACAAACACGUCGAGCAGGGUGGAAACACGGCCUUAGUGAUCCGACGGCGCUGCGUGGAAAGGCCGUCGCUAAACGGAUAAAAGUUA
This 367-nucleotide ribosomal RNA is filed under the name uncultured organism. RNAcentral's name for it is "bacterial LSU rRNA". It matches the Rfam family "Bacterial large subunit ribosomal RNA", at positions 2099 to 2465 of the family's 2925-position model. The record is from RNAcentral.